ACGUACCGGGUAGCGGGGGAUAACUGAUCGAAAGAUCAGCUAAUACCGCAUACGUCUUGAGAGGGAAAGCAGGGGACCUUCGGGCCUUGCGCUAUCCGAGCGGCCGAUAUCUGAUUAGCUGGUUGGCGGGGUAAAGGCCCACCAAGGCGACGAUCAGUAGCGGGUCUGAGAGGAUGAUCCGCCACACUGGGACUGAGACACGGCCCAGACUCCUACGGGAGGCAGCAGUGGGGAAUUUUGGACAAUGGGCGCAAGCCUGAUCCAGCCAUGCCGCGUGUCUGAAGAAGGCCUUCGGGUUGUAAAGGACUUUUGUCAGGGAAGAAAAGGCCGUUGCCAAUAUCGGCGGCCGAUGACGGUACCUGAAGAAUAAGCACCGGCUAACUACGUGCCAGCAGCCGCGGUAAUACGUAGGGUGCGAGCGUUAAUCGGAAUUACUGGGCGUAAAGCGGGCGCAGACGGUUACUUAAGCAGGAUGUGAAAUCCCCGGGCUCAACCCGGGAACUGCGUUCUGAACUGGGUGACUCGAGUGUGUCAGAGGGAGGUGGAAUUCCACGUGUAGCAGUGAAAUGCGUAGAGAUGUGGAGGAAUACCGAUGGCGAAGGCAGCCUCCUGGGAUAACACUGACGUUCAUGUCCGAAAGCGUGGGUAGCAAACAGGAUUAGAUACCCUGGUAGUCCACGCCCUAAACGAUGUCAAUUAGCUGUUGGGCAACUUGAUUGCUUGGUAGCG
RNAcentral lists this ribosomal RNA (729 nucleotides) under Neisseria gonorrhoeae. RNAcentral describes it as "bacterial SSU rRNA". It matches the Rfam family "Bacterial small subunit ribosomal RNA", at positions 124 to 848 of the family's 1533-position model. The record is from RNAcentral. Lineage: Bacteria; Pseudomonadati; Pseudomonadota; Betaproteobacteria; Neisseriales; Neisseriaceae.